Molecule: ribosomal RNA, 253 nt
Filed under: uncultured bacterium
Lineage: Bacteria
Description: partial 16S ribosomal RNA
Rfam family: Bacterial small subunit ribosomal RNA
Source: RNAcentral
UACGUAGGGUGCAAGCGUUGUCCGGAAUUAUUGGGCGUAAAGAGCUCGUAGGCGGUUCGUCGCGUCUGCUGUGAAAUCCCGAGGCUCAACCUCGGGUCUGCAGUCGAUACGGGCGGGCUGGAGUUCGGCAGGGGAGACUGGAAUUCCUGGUGUAGCGGUGAAAUGCGCAGAUAUCAGGAGGAACACCGGUGGCGAAGGCGGGUCUCUGGGCAUUAACUGACGCUGAGGAGCGAAAGCAUGGGGAGCGAACAGG